GGUUACUUCCUGUCAUGCAGCUGAGAGCUGUGGCAGUCGUAGUGUUUGCAGAGGAGAUAUGAUGGGAUGUAAAGCAUGAGGUCAGGACUCUGAAGCUGACUCAAAGAACAAACACUUAUUUUAAACUGGAUCUCAAACUGUUGGAUUGUGUUCGUCUCUACAGGAUCAAUGAUGAGCCGUUCAGAGCCACGAUCCAGAAGACCUGUGACAGGAAGUGAAGACACACAGAAAGUUUCUUCAUCACGGGGCGAGUUUGAGACGUGAAGAGGAGCGUGGAGGCAUUUUGGAAAAUAAAGAAGAAGGCUGCAGCUGAUGAGAGACUUCCUGUUAGCUCUCCUCAAUAUGAAAUGAACAAAAACAAUCAAUUGAACUUAAAGCUUUUCUUGAGAAGAAAGAUGUGUUGCACAUACUCCUGCUGCUACCUACCACCACCUCCCACCCAUCCCGGCACCAGAGAGGAGACUCCAUCGACCCCAGAUACCCCAACUCACUCUUCUUCAGGUUAGCUCCGAGCCCCGCCUUUACCUGCCCCAACUCUGCCCCCCAUCUCACUUUGAACGAUGUAGUCAUCCGGAUAUCUGCAUACUGAGAGUGGGACGCAGGACCCGGUCAAUGAGCUGCUGGAAGGGGGUCCACUGGACUGGAGGGGCGCUUGGAUCUGGUGAUGCCUUGCUCUUCCUGAAAGGGGAGGACACCUAUCUGCCAUAGUUCUUCCACCUGACGACUGAGUUCGGCAUCGGGGGUUC
Molecule: long non-coding RNA, 746 nt
Organism: Gymnodraco acuticeps
Lineage: Eukaryota; Metazoa; Chordata; Actinopteri; Perciformes; Bathydraconidae
Exons: 3
Source: RefSeq, a predicted model, not a curated record